UGUCUUAUGUCAAUUUAAUUAUUAGACCAGCCAAAGAAACUAGAAGGGAAGGAGAAGAAAGUUUUCUGACAUUACAAUAGUGUCUGGGGUCCACUGGCCAAUAAGAGAGCGAGAGAGCCCAAGGAGGGGGAGAAGCAGAAGGAGAGGGAGAAGCAGACUCCCCACCGAGCAGGGAGCCUGACUCGGGGAUUGAUCCCAGGACCCUAGGAUCAUGACCUGAACUAAAGUCAGCUGCUUAAUGGGCUGAGCCACCCAGGCGCCCCUUUACUGUUUCUUUGUAUCCUUU
Molecule: long non-coding RNA, 286 nt
Filed under: Mustela putorius furo (domestic ferret)
Lineage: Eukaryota; Metazoa; Chordata; Mammalia; Carnivora; Mustelidae
Description: lncRNA (ENSMPUG00000032044.1)
Source: RNAcentral